RNAcentral lists this ribosomal RNA (497 nucleotides) under uncultured bacterium. RNAcentral describes it as "partial 16S ribosomal RNA". It matches the Rfam family "Bacterial small subunit ribosomal RNA", at positions 28 to 507 of the family's 1533-position model. The record is from RNAcentral.
GAUGAACGCUGGCGGCGUGCCUAAUACAUGCAAGUCGAGCGAACGGACGAGAAGCUUGCUUCUCUGAUGUUAGCGGCGGACGGGUGAGUAACACGUGGAUAACCUACCUAUAAGACUGGGAUAACUUCGGGAAACCGGAGCUAAUACCGGAUAAUAUUUUGAACCGCAUGGUUCAAAAGUGAAAGACGGUCUUGCUGUCACUUAUAGAUGGAUCCGCGCUGCAUUAGCUAGUUGGUAAGGUAACGGCUUACCAAGGCAACGAUGCAUAGCCGACCUGAGAGGGUGAUCGGCCACACUGGAACUGAGACACGGUCCAGACUCCUACGGGAGGCAGCGGUAGGGAAUCUUCCGUAAUGGGCGAAAGCCUGACGGAGCAACGCCGCGUGAGUGAUGAAGGUCUUCGGAUCGUAAAACUCUGUUAUUAGGGAAGAACAUAUGUGUAAGUAACUGUGCACAUCUUGACGGUACCUAAUCAGAAAGCCACGGCUAACUACGUG